UCUAUGCUUUUCUCCUCAGACUGGGACACAGCCGCCCAGGAAAUUCUCCCCAGGCUGAUGACUCCUGCUGGCGUUCCUGUUCUCUGUAAUUCUCUCUUAGCCUGUGGACCACUGUCUUCCAGGAAGUCCAGGCCACGGCCAUCCCUUUCUUUUUAAACUAGGAAACUCCCAAGAGGACCCCUGCUCUCCGGACCUCAUGAGCGGAAUGGCCUGGCUUGGUUUCUCAUCAGCUCAACGCUGGUGAUUAGGACAUCCCGUAGGAAACCCAACCAUCCUUCUGUCUAGGUGGCAUCGAAGCAGCCUGAACAGGAGGCCCAGGUGGCAGGGAGAGGGUUAAAUGCACUAGGCCAGAUGGAGGACUCCCAUUUGGAGGAGCUGCCCAGCCCUAGGCAAGUCCCUGAUCCUCAGAACCCAGCGCUGGAGAUCUCUGAGCCGCAGGAGCCACCAGCCAGGAGACGCCAUCUCAGCACCUUCUCCUCCUCCAGGCCUCCCCCUCCCUUUUGAAUGCUGGUUCCUUCCAAACCCAGCUCUUGGAACAAUGGAUGAAGAGGGGGCCGGAGGAGGCGGCUCCCCACCCCUGGUUAGAAAACCCAGAGGCCUGGCUGCAUCACGCAGGCAGCUUGGCCUUGUAAGGGCUUUUCCUGCAGGACAGACCCAGUUGCCAUCCUGGGUCCUGGGCUCCCGCACGACCAACCCCCAGCCGGGAACUCGAUCAGCAAAGCAAGGUGGCAAAGAGGGUGGCAACGAGCAACCAGUGCCUCUGCCCCCUUUGCUCCCUUCCCGUCCACCUGAUGCCUUCAGGUGCAACCUGAGCCGUGGGGCUACAGCCUCAGUCAGUGUAAAGAGCCUCGCUCACUCCCAGUCUGAAUCGGGAAGAGAAAGGGCCCAGCUGCAAACACAUCCUGUCUCCUUCAAGGGUUUCUCCCUGGAUGGCUGAUGGGAUGAGAUGGAAGGCUCUUGCUGCUGACACCCCCCAGGAGCAGCUUUUCCGUGGAGGCCUCCCACGGUGUUGGAGCCGGAAGGUGGCCGGCAGCUGGCCACCCUCACCCCACUCCACUGAGAGCUAUGUGAUGGCCCUGGCUUUGGGAUCAAGACCUCCUGCUCUUAAGAAAACAGAUCCGAAAUCUUGGCCUCAAAAUAAAAUAUGUUCAGAGGAAGCAAGUAAUCCUCAGAGUGAAACACAGGCCACAGGAUAGAGGAAAAAGGUCUCAGCAGAAAGCUGAGCUCCGGUGACCAUGAGUUCAAGUUCACCCUCCACGGGCUAGUCCUUUUGCUCUGAACACAGCCAAGGAUAGUGCCCUGGCUCUGUGCUGGCUGCGUCCCCAGUCCAUCAAAGGUCAGCCAACUUUUUCCGUAAAGGGCCAGAUAGUAAGUAUUUCCAGCUUUGCAGGCCACAGGGUCCCUGUUGCAAUUACAAUAAUACCCUGGUUUGCGAGCAUAAUUCGCUCCGGAAACAAACUACUCGUAUUGCAAGACAUCGCUCGUUGACCACGUUAAAAG
Hipposideros armiger (great roundleaf bat) is the source of this 1500-nucleotide long non-coding RNA. RefSeq lists it as uncharacterized. The record is from RefSeq and is a predicted model, not a curated record. The transcript is spliced from 4 exons. NCBI's taxonomy places the organism in Eukaryota, Metazoa, Chordata, Mammalia, Chiroptera, Hipposideridae.